This 264-nucleotide ribosomal RNA is filed under the name Idiomarina zobellii. RNAcentral describes it as "partial 23S ribosomal RNA". It matches the Rfam family "Bacterial large subunit ribosomal RNA", at positions 2679 to 2925 of the family's 2925-position model. The record is from RNAcentral. Lineage: Bacteria; Pseudomonadati; Pseudomonadota; Gammaproteobacteria; Alteromonadales; Idiomarinaceae.
UAGUACGAGAGGACCGGAGUGGACGAACCUCUGGUGUUCGGGUUGUCAUGCCAAUGGCACUGCCCGGUAGCUAUGUUCGGAAUCGAUAACCGCUGAAAGCAUCUAAGCGGGAAGCGAGCCUCGAGAUAAGCUCUCACUAGCACUUUGAGUGCUCUGAAGGGUUGUUGAAGACGACGACGUUGAUAGGCGGGGUGUGGAAGCGUAGUAAUGCGUUGAGCUAACCCGUACUAAUUGCCCGUGAGACUUAACCAUACAACACCGAAG